UGUCCGCGAGCAGAGGAGAUGGAGAGCGGGUGCUUGAGGAGCGGCGGCGGCGGUGGACGCAGCCGGCGAAGGCCGCUGGAGGCUGCGGCACGUCGUGCGAGGGCUCGAGGAGUGCCAGGCUCGGAGGGAGGGGAGGCUGGUCUAAGAGGCGAGGGCAGGAGAUGGCGGGCGAACGUUGGGGUGGGUGCACCGAUCCCAAGGCCCGUCCCGAAGCGGCCGAGCAGAGGCCGCCGGGGUCAAUAAACCGAGUAGCAGCAUAACGUUCAAAGACUGUAGCGACAUGUGACAACUGCAGCGGCCUUUAGGCAGACGUGCAUGAGGUGACAGGCGGCCUUGAAACAGGCUGGACUCUGGUUACGAUAUACCAAGGUGAGAUGGGACCGAUCCGGGUGCUCUCGGUCGUUCGGCCGCCGUCGUCCCUACCGGCCUAUCUCGGCGUACCUGAGUUACUGAGUCUCCUCCCAGCCUCCCCCACCGGACAUGCACCUCCUACUAAGUGUGUGCUCAACCGUGCGGGUUGUUUACGUAAUCAAACCGAGAACGUGAUCUCUUACUAUCUACCACAUAUGACUGUCUCCCCCUUCUUAAGACAUCGUAUGACACGUUCUAGAAAUAAAUGUGGUUCCUCCUCCAGGUCUUCUACUUAAGCUUUAGUAGGACACGGGUUCUUUCCUCCUUCAAGGUACCUACCACUAACACGUUUGUUCUUCCGUGUAGAGUGUGUAGUACGUUAAAUCUAUUGAUUGAUUGAUCGCCAACGUGGAAGAUGUUGUCACUCGGGCUCGCCGUAGUCUAAGUCUAACAGGGUACUUCCAAAGCUCUACCUCCGGACACUCCUCCUAAAAUCCCCUCUAGUAUGAUACUGAUACUGUUCUCCGACUCUAAACUGAACGUGACAUAACUUUUCGUCCAAGUCCUCGAGGUUCGGUUAUUUGCGGUCUCGAAACUUUUUCUACAUUCUAAAGAUGAAAGAUCGAAAAAAGUGUUUUAAACGACAUCUGAAAAUAAGACAUACCGUCAGCCCAAACAAUAUCCUUACUCGAUAUUUGGAAAACAAGUUAAAACAAACUCUAUCUUAUGUUUAAUACACACUAUAAGUUUCAAAUAUCUCGUACUGGUGUCGUUUUUUUCCGCUAGUUGUAUCCGUUAUACAAAAGACAAUUGUUAAGUUAAAGAAAAAAAUUAAGUUACGGACUUUAAUAAGGUUAAACGUCACGUAUGAACGGCGAUUAAUUCUUGAUGUCUAUAUACGAAAGUGUACGUCAGUACCGAAACGAUUGUACAUACACAGUCAAGUCUUUAUGGAGUAUCACAAAGCUAAGAACCGAAGUCCCUUUUUCACUAUCUAACGUUUUUAUAAAUAGACAUAUUCUCCUAUCUACAUAUAAAUAGAUUCUCCUAUCUACAAGCAUGAACGUCUUGAUGUCAAACGUAAAGUCAGGUAGUAAGUAACAAUGAACUCAUAAAGAGUACAAAGCGACUAGAGGAUCCUAACAUCUUCGAAAAACACACAAAAGAGUGACCUCGUCGAGAGACGCGGAAUACUUUCAUCAAACCUUUAUACUCACUCUUCACAACAUAAAAAUACAAAAAACAAUUAAAGCCCCCUCUUCUCUUGAGGUCAAAACCGUUACAAGCACUAAGUCUAAGUGGUACUAACUAUGACAUGUUACGGUAUGUUAUAAAUGCAUAAGGGUAGUACUUGAUAAAGUAGGAUAAAAACAAAGCCAUUUCAUGUUACAAGGAUAAUUCGACAUCAUCAACUUUAAAACACAUGUCAGUUUACAUUAAAUGGUAACCUCUGAAAUGUGUACACAUUCUUUUAAUUUUUAUAUUGACAGAUAUGUAUGUACAUUUUUAUAAUUUAUGAUAUUUACACUUUGACGUCCUACGCAAUUAUAAAAUAGUAGUACACUGGAUAAUUAAAACUUGGCAGGCCGGUGUGUAAAUAAGGUUUGGCGUAUAUACCGUAGGCUCUUCCUUCUUAGACUCGCCCUUCAUGAUGUGCUGCUAAGAACUCUCCUUGUUCAGCUGCUCCUGUGGUUACUACUAUUGAGAUAGCAGCAAGACGUGGGCCUGUUGUACCUAUUCUACGUUGAGAAAGAACCGACACUUAGCCAGCUACCAACUGUUCUUGUGGUUACCGCUGUGAGUAACACCGAAAUGUGAGCCUGUGGUACCUGUACAACAUCGAGAAGGCACCGCUCCCUACGUGACGGAUAAGAUAAGAGGUAGUGCAGGUUAUCUUUCGUUCCCUGCCCAUCAAACUAGGAAUUGCCAAAGUACAAAAGAGAGGUCAACUUUGCGUGUACGAAACUACCACCGCGAGAGAGCUCCUUCCAUCGAUUUCAAAAACCGUUCUCAGACAGGGUAGAAAAUAACAUAUAGUUACAUGAUAACCAACUCGUUUGUCGUUUCGUUCCGUCUUCUACUACUUGUACUUUUACACCCAUUUUCCUUCAGGUUAUAAGAAAGACGAUGUUCAUGUCUUUCCUUACCCUAUCUUGACAUUUAAGACCGUACUUCAUCCUACUCAUACGAUAACAGCACAUCACGUUCGGACCCACCAACCCUCUACUACGUGUGUCUGUACACCUCUGUUACGCUAGGUGGUUCCGCCUUCGAGUAGUUUGCCUAUCCCAAUCGAAGUUUCUGCUUCUUCAGGCUACGAAAAGGGGACGGCCUGUAGGAAUUACGGCAGGUACGCCAAAUCUGGAAUGUUUCACAUUAAAAAAAGAGGGCAACGUUGCGUGCCCGAAAAAACGAUCAAUUAAAAUUAAAAAUUAAAGAAAGGGAUGAUUAUUUGGUCGCUAGCGAAGACCAGCAGGCAGUAGUCCGUAAAACGUUUCUUCAGGGAGUUAAACAGUCUUAAGGGAUAGGGAUAUAUAUAUAUGAUUAUUUGGUCGCUAGCGAAGACCAGCAAGCAGUAGUCCGUAAAACGUUUCUUCAGGGAGUUAAACAGUCUUAAGUUGGGCGUCAGGAUAGAAUUCACCUAUAGACUCUUUUGCAAAGUUAAAACGUGUUUUGUGGGACCGCAAACCUCAUAAGUUGCGCGCCAGGCUCGUCGAAACAUUUCUCUUUUUUUGUGUUGGUGUGUGCGUACCCGAGCUGAGGAGAGGGAGAGCGGGUGCUUCAGUGGCGGCGGCGGCGGGUGCGGCCGGCGAAGGCCGCUCGAGGCCGCGACGCGUCGUGUCGGGGCUCGAGGGGUACGAGGCGCGGAGGGAGGGGAGGCCGGUCUAAGAGUAGAGGACCGGAGAUGGCGGGCGAGCGUUGGUGUGGGGGCACCGAUCCCAAGGCCCGUCACGAAGCGGCCACGCAGAGGCCGCCGGGGUCUACGUCUACCUCGUGCGGUACCCUCAAGGGGUAGGUGGUACCAGCGACAGCAGUUCCCGAAGAGGUUCCUCUACACUUCCUGCGGUAGCUGGACGUCGAUGAGUUCCAGAGUUCGCCGCUGUCAUGGGCCGUUGUGCUCAUGUCCCUCACAAAAAUGACCAAUGCAGGUUUCACCUCUUGAUUCUUGUUGUCGGAGUUCCUUUGAUAUGCCUCUCUCGAUCCUCCUAACCAAAGGUCAGGUCCUCACUCGAGUACAGAAAACUAAACUUUACUUUGCGGGUGACCCUCUCCAGACGUCGACGACGAAAGCACUCCGACCAGUACCUCCCCGCGUACGGGACUCCACCCACCCACAAUCGAUACUGCUCUUUUGUAUACUUCAAAGACGAUAACAAUUCGGACUACAGCUUCUCAACCUUUACUAAACACUUAGAGACACGUGCAUUUACCUUGUAACCUGUUCAAUUCGGUACACAUAAGGUAGAGGAAAUUAUAUAACGAACACUAACCGGAUUAUCUCUCAGACGUUCUGCACUAAACAUGAGUUUCGUAGAGUAGGUCUAGUGAAAUGUUAUGAAAAGAAGUAUAGAUCUUUUACGUACAUACGUAUAUUCAAAGCACUUGUUAAAAAAACUUAUAGGUCCAGUGAAAUACGUAUAGGUCUAGUGAAAUGUUUGUCUUGUUUACGCACAUAAGGAAAAAGUAGUAUAGGUAUAGAUCUUUUCGUAAGGAGGUACAUUAUCCCAAAAACUUUCGUCAUACGUAUAUACAAAGCACUUGUUAAAAAAAAACAAUAACGUUGGUAUUCUUUCUUAGAAUGACCUAACAGGACCUUUUAUAAUCAGUAGAUAACGGCUAUUGAUCUAGGCACAAUUGAGUUAUCCCACUAGAUCGCUCAAUAGAACUCUGUUUUUCAGCGGACGCUAGAAUAUUUCACUAGUCUAAACGGGGACUCUGACGUUCCAUACAAUCCUAAGUAUUGUAUACAUAGAAGAAAAGGAUAAAAAAAGGAAAAUUUCGACAUUGAUGGUAAACUCUUAACUGAAUUUGACGAGCGUAAUCACGUAGUAAAACAUAAGUGGACUUUUAUUACAUCGUAACUGACUUUGACGAGUGGUAAACUUCAUAACUGACUUUGUGAUGGUAACUUCAUAAAAGAAAUAAAAAAACUGAUCUUUUCGUACUUCUACUUAAUUCAACUAAGUACAUCUACUUUACCAAAAGGUAAAGGUAAACACAGCAAAGUCACUUUGUUUUACUAUAACGUCGAGAAAAGUAAAUACAGAACAAAGUAACGUAAUAAUAGAAGGUACUAAAGAAAAAGUGGUUAUGUAAAACAACGUAUAUACCUCCGGUAGAUGAAAAGACGACUAUAAACAAUAAUAUAGUAGAACAAACGCUUGAAUUUUUCCAGGGAGUUUCUCUUCGCAAAAAGUACACGAGGACUUAGACCACACGCCAUACUACCUCAAAUGUCUAACUCUUGACAACCUCCUUCUGACCAUAAGUCGCGGCAACCGGCGAGACGGAUGGCUCACGGUGGGGCGGCGGAGGAGGGUGGGGGGUGGACCCUGGAGUGGCGGACGAGGGGCGGGCCGUGUGGGUGUUGCGAACUCCGACUCGUCUACGGUAACCGGGCACCCGUGCCUUCGUCUCAGGUCCUACCACUACCACGGUUCCUCCUGAGAGCCUGCAGCUGGCCAACGUAGCAACGACGGCAUAGGUACCUCACCGCCGAGGUUGGUGAGACUCUACUCCUUAGUCAUGUUGUUGUCUUGAACUUCGACUGUUCCUACCUACUACCAACCAAAACCACCUCUCUAGCCCACGUAUACUUGUUGGAUAAUAGAAGGAAAAAACAAAAAGUAGUAAGUUGCCCUGUUAAAGGAUUAAGAAAAAAUCAUGACAGACUUUUCCAAUAAUCAUGUAUAUCCAAACAGUUUUAAAUAAUCGUGUAUACUCCAAGAAACAAACCUGGGGGAAACCGAGAUGUAUUAAGAAACCUCACCCUAAGAUCUAUCUACGAAAAUAACUAAAAGAGGGUAACGUUGCAUGCCCAUACAAAUGACAUUAUUAUUUCAGUCUUCCUCUUCCCGCUCCAGGUCUACCUCGAGAUGGUCAAGGCGGCGAAAAUAUAGAGCUGACAACGACGAUCGAGAUGAGACGAGUUGCUAUUUAAGACACACCAAUCAAUUAAAUGAUCCAUUUAACGUAUCGAGUCAUCGUACGUGUGUACUUGCGAGUUCAAUGUACAAACCAGUCGGUAAGGGACCGUCGGAUACCGAUCCGAAGGGUCUUCUAAGGAAGAUGUAUUGUGUACAAUACACAACGGCUCAGCAUGUCGACGUACUUAACCCG
Molecule: ribosomal RNA, 5691 nt
Filed under: Triticum aestivum (bread wheat)
Lineage: Eukaryota; Viridiplantae; Streptophyta; Magnoliopsida; Poales; Poaceae
Description: partial small subunit ribosomal RNA
Source: RNAcentral